ACCCAGACUCCUACGGGAGGCAGCAGUGAGGAAUAUUGGUCAAUGGUCGGGAGACUGAACCAGCCAAGCCGCGUGAGGGAGGAAGGUACAGAGUAUCGUAAACCUCUUUUGUCAGGGAACAAAGGCGGGGACGUGUCCCCGGAUGAGUGUACCUGAAGAAAAAGCAUCGGCUAACUCCGUGCCAGCAGCCGCGGUAAUACGGAGGAUGCGAGCGUUAUCCGGAUUUAUUGGGUUUAAAGGGUGCGCAGGCGGCCUGUUAAGUCGGGGGUAAAAGCCGGGGGCCCAACCCCGGCGAGCCGUUGAAACUGGCGGGCUGGAGUUGGAGAGAAGUAUGCGGAAUGCGCGGUGUAGCGGUGAAAUGCAUAGAUAUCACGCAGAACUCCGAUUGCGAAGGCGGCGCACCGGCGCCCUACUGACGCUCAGGCACGAAAGCGUGGGUAUCGAACAGGAUUAGAUACCCCCGUA
RNAcentral lists this ribosomal RNA (465 nucleotides) under uncultured bacterium. RNAcentral describes it as "bacterial SSU rRNA". It matches the Rfam family "Bacterial small subunit ribosomal RNA", at positions 329 to 792 of the family's 1533-position model. The record is from RNAcentral.